UCCUGAUUGUAUGUGGUCGCCGGCACGGAAGGACAGCGCGCUUGAGCUGCUGCAGCUGGGCGUCUCCGGCUCGCCAAGAUCGAUCCCGACCACCACGACACCCACCAACCUGAAGAUGCUUGCCCACCGCGUCCACCUUGGCCAAAAAUCUGGGACCUCGCCGUUAUGCAGUGCCGGCCUCCCUGAGUUCAUGCUGCUCGGAGAUGUGCUGCCGGUGCCUUCCCCGACCUGCGGCCUCUGGCCACAUGACGCCGCAACAUCCGUCCGAUGAGUUCACCAGCUACUGAUGUCGCCGUAAGGGAGGACCUGCAGCUCGCCCUGGGGCUGCCGCAAGCACGAGGAGGGACACUCAACUACCGUCGCACUGAGAGGAUGACUAGAUGACACAGCCAGGGAAAGCUGGUUGGAGGGGAUGCGGCUCACCACGAUGGCGAUCAUGGCGUAAUAGGGAUAUCUUGGUUAGCAGAGAAGCUGGCACACAUCUAGCAGCAAUAACCUGCUGCAUCAUUGUCACUUGUCGGAAGCUGGAAGAAGAAAACACAUCUGCAUGCUGCAGCCUUGGUCGCGCCUGCCAGCUCCGAGAGAAUUUUUGUAAUUCAUGUUGUGUUGUAAUGGUUAACCAUCAGUGUUUGUCCCAGAACUGAAACUGAUUUGAUGCCACGUGUUGAUCUGCUGGCUUUGCCUAUGACGUGCUGGUUAUGCUGGUUGAGUUUGAGUCUUAAAAUACUUAGAUAUGCAAAUAUGUUUCUCGCCUUUUGCUGUGGUCAUACCAAUUUUUCUGAUGCCUUUGCUGAUUAGUUGGCUUGACUAUGUAUUUUCUUAGCAUCACACAGAUCUGUCUCUCACAAUGUCCGAAUGU
Long non-coding RNA from Lolium rigidum, 859 nucleotides. RefSeq lists it as uncharacterized. NCBI's taxonomy places the organism in Eukaryota, Viridiplantae, Streptophyta, Magnoliopsida, Poales, Poaceae. The record is from RefSeq and is a predicted model, not a curated record. The transcript is spliced from 4 exons.